UAUGAGAGUUUGAUCCUGGCUCAGGACGAACGCUGGCGGCGUGCCUAAUACAUGCAAGUCGAACGCUUCUUUCCUCCCGAGUGCUUGCACUCAAUUGGAAAGAGGAGUGGCGGACGGGUGAGUAACACGUGGGUAACCUACCCAUCAGAGGGGGAUAACACUUGGAAACAGGUGCUAAUACCGCAUAACAGUUUAUGCCGCAUGGCAUAAGAGUGAAAGGCGCUUUCGGGUGUCGCUGAUGGAUGGACCCGCGGUGCAUUAGCUAGUUGGUGAGGUAACGGCUCACCAAGGCCACGAUGCAUAGCCGACCUGAGAGGGUGAUCGGCCACACUGGGACUGAGACACGGCCCAGACUCCUACGGGAGGCAGCAGUAGGGAAUCUUCGGCAAUGGACGAAAGUCUGACCGAGCAACGCCGCGUGAGUGAAGAAGGUUUUCGGAUCGUAAAACUCUGUUGUUAGAGAAGAACAAGGACGUUAGUAACUGAACGUCCCCUGACGGUAUCUAACCAGAAAGCCACGGCUAACUACGUGCCAGCAGCCGCGGUAAUACGUAGGUGGCAAGCGUUGUCCGGAUUUAUUGGGCGUAAAGCGAGCGCAGGCGGUUUCUUAAGUCUGAUGUGAAAGCCCCCGGCUCAACCGGGGAGGGUCAUUGGAAACUGGGAGACUUGAGUGCAGAAGAGGAGAGUGGAAUUCCAUGUGUAGCGGUGAAAUGCGUAGAUAUAUGGAGGAACACCAGUGGCGAAGGCGG
This 749-nucleotide ribosomal RNA is filed under the name Enterococcus faecalis. RNAcentral's name for it is "bacterial SSU rRNA". It matches the Rfam family "Bacterial small subunit ribosomal RNA", at positions 1 to 724 of the family's 1533-position model. Lineage: Bacteria; Bacillati; Bacillota; Bacilli; Lactobacillales; Enterococcaceae. The record is from RNAcentral.